GAUUCUCUUUCUCUUGUUAUUAUGUUAGAAAACUUCCACUACUUGUUUGUUUUUUAUAAUAAGAUGUUUUUGAAAGCUGAAAAGGGAAAUACAUAUGAGUUGAAUUUCACCGACAGACAUAACACACUUUGAGUUGAUGAGAAUAAGGAAAGAAAAAAAAUGUUCUUUCAUGUCUGUUUCUCAGAAUUUAAAUCUGUCCUUGUCUGAAAUCUGUUCAAUCUCAAGUGCUUAAAAGCUCUCAUCCUUUAUUCUUCUAAGAUGCAAAUUCCCAAUUAUAUAAUUGACAAAUCUACCAUUAAAUUGCAUUAUAUAAGUUAUUUUGACUUAGAUCCAAUUCCUUGUGCUCCAACAUGGAUAUAUCAAAUUAUUUGAAUCAUCUUUUGGGGGGGACAAGACAUGGUAUAAUAUAUUAUGAUGUAAUUUAAUGCAUUCUUUCUCUUUAUGGGACCCAAAAUGAAGCUUUUUUAUGAUGGCUCGUAUUUUUCAUUUUCACAUUAUCAGAGUAUGAAAUAAAGUUGUAACCAAAAAAAAAGGAGUAUGAAAUAAGCGCAAUCUUUAUGGUCAUUUAUUAUAAGAUAAUUGACGCAUGUGUCAUGGUUAACAGGAGGAGUUGCUUCCAUGGAUGACUUUCUUCAGAAUUUCUUCCCCGCAGUGUACAAACAUAAAUUGCGAGCACAUGAAAACAAUUAUUGCAAGUAUAACAAUCAGGGGAUUUCUGCAUUUACCUCUACUUUAUACAUUUCUGGUUUCAUUGCAUCCAUAGUAGCAGCUCCAAUUACAAGAAGGUAUGGACGAAGGACAAGUAUCAUAAUUGGUGGUAUCAACUUUCUUGUCGGAUCAGCUCUAAAUGCUGCAGCUGUUGAUCUGGAAAUGCUUAUCAUAGGAAGGGUUUUGCAAGGUGUUGGCAUUGGAUUUGGAAAUCAGGUAGUAGCAUUUUCCUACAUUAAUCUUUUAUCCAUUCUUAACUGAAUGCAAAAUAUUUUUGAUAUAAAACAUUGGUUUAUUUAUAUUAGAAGAACAACCGAGAAACCAUACCAUGUUCAAAACCAAAGUCUAAAGUCUAGAUAACCAUAGUAUCAAAUGUUAGCUUUAAAAAGUGACAGCGAACAUUAAUUAUAUGAAUGUUAAUGUAGAGUGUCAAAUUUUACAGGAAAAAAAAGGUAGUAAUGUGAUGGAAACAAUCAGGGGUACAAUAAAGUAUGUUUAAGUUAGAAGAUAAUUCAAUUAUACUAUACCUUUUUGAAGGCUAUUCCGCUCUAUUUGUCAGAGAUGGCGCCAACCCACUUUCGAGGAGCCCUGAACAUGAUGUUUCAAGUUGCAACCACUUUUGGGAUUUUUACAGCAAAUAUGAUCAAUUACGGAACACAGCAGAUUCAACCAUGGGGGUGGAGGUUGGCCCUUGGACUUGCUUCAAUACCAACUCUUUUGAUGACUGUCGGAGGAAUAUUUAUUCCAGAGACUCCAAAUAGCUUAGUAGAAAGAGGAUCAAAGGAACAGGGGAGGAAGCUCCUUGAAAAAAUCAGAGGAACAGAUGAGGUCGACGCGGAGUUCCAAGAUAUGCUUGAUGCGGGUGAAUUGGCAAACUCAAUAAAGCACCCCUAUUAUAACAUCCUUGAAAGAAGAUACAGACCAGAGUUGGUCAUGGCUAUCUGCAUGCCUGCAUUCCAGAUUCUGACCGGUAUAAACUCAAUUCUCUUUUAUGCUCCAAUGCUAUUUCAAAGCAUGGGAUUUGGCAGACAAGCAUCGCUUUACUCCUCAGCCUUGACUGGAGUAGUUCUUGCCUUAUCAACAUUCAUUUCUAUUGCAACAGUAGAUAGAUUGGGGCGACGGCCCUUACUCAUCAGUGGUGGAAUACAAAUGAUUAUAUGCCAGGUAUGGAAAACUCAUGAUUUAGUGCAAAUUCCAAUUAUGCUCACAAGAACCGUAACUUUUUGACAUAAUGCUAGAAGCUGAAUAAUUGCACCAUUCAUUUAGAAGUGAAUACGCAAAUCGUUCCUCGAGAUUGUAAGCAUCGAUCAAAAUACCAUACUUUUGCAAAUUGACAAAUACAUCCUAAAAUUGUUAAAUGUCGGUCAAAUUUGUCAAUAGCGGUAAAAAUAUACAUCCUAUGUAAAAAAAAAAUCCCGCUAGAGACUAUGAUGUGACACGUUAAAUGAAUAUGUGCUUCCUCCACGUUGAUCCUACGUCAAUGCCACCAUAUCAUGGAGUAAUUUGCCUGUAGAAAUUAGGUAUCUCAGAGACUAAUUUGUUAGUACUUAGUUCAUUCACACUUGUAAAUAUCGACAAAUUUAUCCGAGAUGAUUUAAAUUUCAUAGGCAAAUUUGUCCCUAGUAAGUUACAUUGGUGUAGGAUCAAGUGCAAUGUGACAUGUUUGGUUAACGUGUAAUGAUAGAUAUUAACGGAGAAGCCGUUUUGAUUAUCAUUUUACAAUUUUGGGGAUCUAUUUUCCUAUUCGCAAAAUUGAGGGACUAUUUAACUGAUGCUUACAAUUUCAAAUACCAAUUUGCCUAUUCACUCGAUCGUUUGGAGUAUCAGAUAAAACUUGCAAAUGACAUGACUCUCGCAUAGCAGAGACCAUUUGUAUUUGCAAAGCAUUGAUUAUACUCUCGCAUUUUUCACAUGAACAGGUUAUAGUUGCCAUAAUUUUGGGUGUCAAGCUUGGACCAAACCAAGAAUUGUCAAAAAACUAUUCAAUAUCGGUUGUAGUUGUACUUUCUCUAUUUGUUCUAGCUUUUGGAUGGUCAUGGGGGCCACUUGGAUGGACAGUCCCAAGUGAGAUAUUUCCAUUAGAAAUCCGAUCGGCAGGGCAAAGUAUCACAGUUGCAGUAAACCUUCUGUUCACUUUCAUUAUCGCACAGGCUUUCUUGUCCCUUCUAUGUUCAUUCAAGUAUGGGAUCUUUCUGUUUUUCGCUGGCUGGAUAGCCGUCAUGACCAUCUUUGUUGUUUUGUUCCUACCUGAGACCAAGGGAAUACCCAUUGAGGAGAUGUCAUUUAUUUGGAGGAAACACUGGUUCUGGAAAAGGAUACUGCCGGAUGAUGCAGAUCGACUAUCCCAGGAUUCUGGAACUGAAUUAAUUAACUUAGGUGCACAUGAACAUGGAGUAUAGAACUGAUAAGUUUAUCCAAAUCAAUAGAGUUUACCUUUCCUUUGCUGUAAUUAAGAAAUUACACGACUAUAAAGCUAAUCGAAAAGAACAGUCUAGCUUUUGUUGUAUUUGUGGAAAAUGAUAGUUAUAUUUGAUUGAUUGUUCAUCCAGUAAUCACAAACAUAACAAAAAUACUGAUUGAUUGUUUCAAUGAGAGAUGUUGGUAACUAUUUAACAAUCCUAUCAUUGAAUAAAUUUCAUAUAAAAACUUGAAUUUGUUCCCUCUUUAGGAACAACCCAAAUAGAAUGUCUGAAAUGGAGUCAAAAGAAUGUAUUACCUUCUUAUGCACACCGAAUUGGUGGGGUUGCAUGGUCAAAGGUCACAGUUUGUGGACUUCAACAACCAAUUUGGUUUCCCAUGCUCCUAGCCUUUGUACUGCAAAAUCGUUGUCCUGUAAAGAAUUGUUUAGUUAGCGUACUACAAAGCUCUCACUAUGUCAGUGUACUUGCGGUGACUCCAUUGAAAAUGCAAUAGAAGACCAAUUUUCCCUGGAACUUCUCAAGGAUUUCCUAUUGUGUUCAGAUUAAUAACUGUCAACAGAAUCCAAUUCCCAGGCAGAGAUCAUGUGAAGGAAAUCAAACAAGAAUUAAAUUCAAUAUAGUGUUCUUGCUCCUCCGUUAAUUGCAAUUUUAAAAUGCCAGCUUUGCGAAAUAAAAACUCAAUACAACAUAAAUGAUGUCGAGGAUAUUAUUCCAAAAAUAACGAACAGCCAAACUCACGCAUAUCACCCUAUAGAAACAAUAAUGUAUUGUGUUGUAUGUCCGGAAAUUGGUGCUUUGACAGCCCUGGAAAGAAACAAGCAGCUUGGCAAGCAUUACAACUUCAUAUGACAAUUUGUGACAUUUAUCGAUCAUUUGGUACACAUCACAUAGACGGUGAGUGAAUGUCAUCCAAUUCAGGGCAUGAAAUCACUUAAUCAUGAAUUUGCCUCAGACAUACCCACAACAUCAAUUAAAUUAAAUUUACACCAUUGAACCACAUUAGUGUGUAUUAUUCUGAAUUGGACUCAACAAGAUCGUCCCAACAUCAGCACAUCACCAUUCUCCCCAAACCAAUUCCUCCAUUAUGUUGACUGUGGUUCAGUGGAAGUAUUACAAUACCUCUCCAUGCUCCCAAUAAUUCUCAUACAGACUUGAACGUCACAAUGCCCAUGCAAGUAGUACUUUCACCACUUUCAGCGACGAAGUGGCAACGAUUGCUCCACAAGGCAACUUCUUGGCCUACUUUGGACCAGUAAUUAUAUCAAUCAAGUUGAGAAUAAACAAGUUUUUCAAUCAAAUAUUUGAAUUCACAACACACAGGUCCUUCAGAACAGAGUAACGACGCUGAAUAUUCAAAUCAACAAAAGAAGGAAAAUAUGUAACACUAAAAACUUUCUAUUACCAUUGAAUUUCACCAAUCAACUACAUCAAUACGAAAACAAAGACAGAAUUACAACCAAUGACCUGAAAAAACAAACUUUAUUCUUACAUACAUGAAAAUCAAUCUUCCACAUAUGAAAAUCAAACACCUGGACUGGACUUGACAAACAAAAAUUCUAAAUUCAAACACCCUAUAGUCUAUAUUCACGUCUAUCAGACUAAGGAAAUUACAAUUUCUUUAAUCCCUUUUGUCAUCAACAUAUGAACUAACUAUAACCACAAAACCUAACUGUAACUAGUCCUCUAUUAGGAACUAAACACUGAACUGAAAAUUAAACCUUCAUCUUCACUACUAUCCUUGCUUCAAUUUCAACGCUUCUUCAAAUUUCUUCAUACGUUCGCACCCCACGUACAAUCCUCUUGAAAAAAUAAAGGAAGCACGCUAGGGACAACACGAACAAAAAAAAAACAACGAUCCAUCAUCAUCAUCUACUUCAGCAGAAAGUAAACAAACACCAAAGAAAGAAAUAAAGUAGAAACUAAUUAUUCCAAAUCAAGUCGAAGUAACCGCCUCAAAUCACUUGUUGCAACACCGUUCUUCCCUAGAAAUCCUGGAACCGGAACGGAACUCGGUGGUGGAGAUGAAACAAACCCCGAUCCAGCGUAAAUCACGUC
RNAcentral lists this long non-coding RNA (5183 nucleotides) under Medicago truncatula (barrel medic). Its description in RNAcentral is "long non-coding RNA (MTRU_LNC002471)". Lineage: Eukaryota; Viridiplantae; Streptophyta; Magnoliopsida; Fabales; Fabaceae. The record is from RNAcentral.